AAGCCAAUAUUCUGUUAGAGGUUCUGGAAGUCAAGCAGUAGAACAUGUGAGGUUCUGGAACUCAGUUCUGCUGUUCUGUCCCUUGUCAAUCUUGUGUAUUUCCCUCAGUGAUUCAAACAGAAAAUUGACACAAAAGUCGAUACAAAUCCAACUCUGAUAAAGAGCAAGUUCUUGUGGUAAUGAUUUGUUCUUCAGUGUCUUGUCAGUGGUGGAAGAGAUACUCUGGAGCUGCUGCAAUGUGUCUGGGGCUGCUGUGUGUUCUCCUACUGGCUGGGAUCAUAGGCCUGUUUCUCUACCAGAGAAACCAAUUGACCUGUUCCAACACCCUGACUGAAGAGAGGGACCAGCUACAGACCAGUUUCAACAUCCUGACCAAAGAGAGAGCCAGCUACAGACAAACUACAACACCCUGACCAAAGAUGGAGACGAGUUACAGACUAGCAACAACACCCUGAUCAAAGAGAGAGACCAGCUUCAGAAAGAGAUAGAACGUCUGAAACAAUCUUUAGUUGAGAAAGUGUGUCCGGAAGGAUGGAAGAAGCUUGGUAGCAGUUGUUACUACGUCUCUACUGAGAAAAAAUCUUGGGAGGAGAGCAGACAGGACUGCAGAAAUAGAGGAGCACACCUGGUGGUCAUCAAGAGCCAAGAACAACAGACAUUAGUCAACUGGUUAUGUGGAGUAUAUGGCUAUGUCUGGAUUGGUCUGACUGACUCUGUUUCUGAGGGGACCUGGAAAUGGGUGGACGACACACCACUGACCAGAAAGUAUUGGAACAGUGGACAGCCUGAUUCUGUGUUGUUUCUUCUACAGGUAUUGGAACAGUGGAGAGCCUGAUGGUGGUGGAGCAGAGAACUGUGUGUAUUUCUAUUCCUGGUCAUCAGACACAGGAGAAUGGUGGGACUAUUACUGUUACUAUAAAUUCAGAUGGAUCUGUGAGAAAUAGGAUUCAUCCUCGGUACUCUCUGAACUGCUAAAUAAGAUUAUGCUAAGUACUAUCAAUCGUAAACUAUUUUCUGCUUAUUCAAUUUAUUUUGUCAAGAACAUACAAUAUAUAACAAGACAAAUGUAGAAUACAUUAUAAUAAAACUAUAUGCAAUAACAAUACAAUGAAUUGAUAAGAGAAGGACUGUUCUGUAUGUUGUUGAGGAAAUUCACCAUUAAGGACUCAAAUUCAAAGGAAAUUAAUCAAUAUUUAUUAUCACAGUCACAGAGGUUCACUGACUCAAUACAAUCCUGAUGUUCAUUUUUAUUAUUAUUACUUUUUAGUUUAGUCUACUUGCUAAAUAUUUUU
This is a long non-coding RNA of Oncorhynchus tshawytscha (Chinook salmon), 1292 nucleotides long. RefSeq lists it as uncharacterized. The annotation marks the transcript as partial. NCBI's taxonomy places the organism in Eukaryota, Metazoa, Chordata, Actinopteri, Salmoniformes, Salmonidae. The transcript is spliced from 5 exons. The record is from RefSeq and is a predicted model, not a curated record.